Molecule: ribosomal RNA, 333 nt
Filed under: Laparocerus orone aridane
Lineage: Eukaryota; Metazoa; Arthropoda; Insecta; Coleoptera; Curculionidae
Description: partial 12S ribosomal RNA
Source: RNAcentral
AAUACCCUAUUAUUUUAAAAGUAAUUAAUUAAAUCUAAUUAGUAAUAGUUAAGUUCUUGAAAAUUAAAGAAUUUGGCGGUAUUUUAGUCUAUUCAGAGGAAUCUGUCCUAUAAUUGAUAAUCCACGAUUUUUUAUAUCUAAAUUAUUAAUUUACAUAUCGCCGUAGUUUGAAUAUUUUUUGAAAAUUAUAAUAUUCAUAAUUUAUUUUUAUAAAAAAAAUCAGGUCAAGGUGUAGUUUAUAUUUAGGGAGAGAUGGAUUACAAUAAAAAUAUUUAUUAUGGAUUAAUUAAUUAAAUUUUUUUAUGAAAGUGGAUUUGAAAGUAAUUUUAUUUA